CAACCUGCCGACAACACUGGGAUAGCCUUUCGAAAGAAAGAUUAAUACCGGAUGGCAUAGUUUUCCCGCAUGGGAUAAUUAUUAAAGAAUUUCGGUUGUCGAUGGGGAUGCGUUCCAUUAGGCAGUUGGCGGGGUAACGGCCCACCAAACCAACGAUGGAUAGGGGUUCUGAGAGGAAGGUCCCCCACAUUGGAACUGAGACACGGUCCAAACUCCUACGGGAGGCAGCAGUGAGGAAUAUUGGUCAAUGGACGAGAGUCUGAACCAGCCAAGUAGCGUGAAGGAUGACUGCCCUAUGGGUUGUAAACUUCUUUUAUACGGGAAUAAAGUGGGCCACGUGUGGCUUUUUGUAUGUACCGUAUGGAUAAGGAUCGGCUAACUCCGUGCCAGCAGCCGCGGUAAUACGGAGGAUCCGAGCGUUAUCCGGAUUUAUUGGGUUUAAAGGGAGCGUAGGCGGGUUGUUAAGUCAGUUGUGAAAGUUUGCGGCUCAACCGUAAAAUUGCAGUUGAUACUGGCGACCUUGAGUGCAACAGAGGUAGGCGGAAUUCGUGGUGUAGCGGUGAAAUGCUUAGAUAUCACGAAGAACUCCGAUUG
RNAcentral lists this ribosomal RNA (594 nucleotides) under uncultured Bacteroidota bacterium. RNAcentral describes it as "bacterial SSU rRNA". It matches the Rfam family "Bacterial small subunit ribosomal RNA", at positions 122 to 715 of the family's 1533-position model. The record is from RNAcentral. Lineage: Bacteria; Pseudomonadati; Bacteroidota.